GGAAGUAAAAAUCGUAACAAGGUUUCCGUAGGUGAACCUGCGGAAGGAUCAUUAGUGAACGCCCUCACGGGCUUAUAACUAUUCCAAACCUCUGUGAACCGUGCCCUUCGGGGUUAUUUUACAAACAUGGUGUAAUGAACGUCAUAUAUCAUAACAAAACAAAACUUUUAACAACGGAUCUCUUGGCUCUC
Molecule: unclassified non-coding RNA, 191 nt
Filed under: plant metagenome
Description: partial contains small subunit ribosomal RNA, internal transcribed spacer 1, and 5.8S ribosomal RNA
Rfam family: Eukaryotic small subunit ribosomal RNA (bases 1-54)
Source: RNAcentral